CAAGGCAGCGGCUCUGUGCUGGUCGACUCCUCUACUCUUGACCCAGCUACCAGUCAGAGAGAGAGAGAGCGAGCCGUGGAGUGGAUCUCGCAGCGGGGGCUCCGCCGGCCGCCAACCCCCGACCACCGGCGAACUCCUCGCCGGUGAGUAUGUGCAGCGGCGCCGGAUCUCGCAGCACAGGGAUAUCAGGAACAGAGGUCCAUGGGCAUGGGAUGAGAAUCACAAAUGCUCUGGAGGAAAUGAAGAAUAUCUUAUUAUCUGGCUGUUACCGUCCAUGUUCUUUAGAUUGAACAUUGGCAUAAUUGUUUCUCUCUGCAAUGAUUAUAUUGGAUCUAGCAUCAUGUCAUGGACAUCAUAAGACUUAUCUGCCUUGAUAGUUGAUGUCUACAGGUUGAGCCAUGCUUCUGUUUAUGAGCCUUUGAAGUAACUCUGUGCUAGCUCAAAUGGGCCAAUUUC
Long non-coding RNA from Triticum dicoccoides, 456 nucleotides. RefSeq lists it as uncharacterized. Lineage: Eukaryota; Viridiplantae; Streptophyta; Magnoliopsida; Poales; Poaceae. The transcript has 2 exons. The record is from RefSeq and is a predicted model, not a curated record.